Lucilia sericata (common green bottle fly) is the source of this 1147-nucleotide long non-coding RNA. RefSeq lists it as uncharacterized. Lineage: Eukaryota; Metazoa; Arthropoda; Insecta; Diptera; Calliphoridae. The record is from RefSeq and is a predicted model, not a curated record. The transcript has 2 exons.
CCUACCACUGGGCCAUCGUUACCAGGACCGGACUCUACAAAACCACAAAGAAAAGAAACAAUGCUGCCUAAAAAAAAGAGAAAAAAAAGGUAACAAACACAAAAAAAACUACAAACAACAAACUUAAAGAACUAAACAAAAAUUCAUACAGAAAACAAAUCACCGUUUUAAAAACAACGAGGCCCACAUACAAAACGAAAAUACACUCGCAACAUUUUUAAACAGAUUCUAAGAAGUUGUUUCGGAACUAGUAUACGUUUCAUGGAACUAGUGGAUAAUGCCUUUAGGAAGGCCUCUUUACUGCCACUUUUUCCCGCUGCGAACUGCUGGCUGCCAUGUUACCGCCAACUGCUAUUGAAAAUAAAUUGACUAUUGUCAUCUCGUAUUCAUUUAAUCCGGAUUAUCUACAUGGCGUUGCUCUUGCGGAAUGGGCUAAAGGACUGUUAAAGUUGCAUUCAAAAACCUUUUAUUUGGGAAAAUAUACUAGAGAUCAGGAUUCACUAAGUUAUUACAUCAUGCUAGAGAUGUUUAGUUUUAUUUUAAAUGAUUGCGUUAAAUAUAAACAUUAGAGGAUAAAUACUUGUUGACUUCCAAAAUAUUCCUUGUUAUUCACCUACCUUUGGGGGUAUAGUGAUGGCUUUUUGUUAUUGUUUUAAAAACGACUGCUAAAGUUGAAAAAACAAACUGGACAAAUUAUUUUGCCAUGGAAUAAUCCAUAAUAGAAAAAAGUAGACGCCCAUCGGUAGUGACUAGUCGAUGCCCUCUCAAGUAAAGGGCAUCAUUAAGCACUGAAAAUACUGUGGAAUUUUAGAACUUAAACUACUUUAAUGCUGAAAACAAAGUAUCCCUCAUAACAAUCGUAAUCUGUCGCAGAGAAAAAGAUGAACUCUCUGCAAAUUAUUUGCAUGAUUUGCCAUUGGCAGUACAAAAUGUUUAAGUAACAACACGAUCAAGAACAGCAGUUGCCAAAAUAAAUUUUAGUUUAGACAAAGGGGGUGCUGAUGCCACUACAGAUUCGAAUUGUCUCAACUAUCUACUUGUUAAAGGUAGCCUGGAUCCACAACAGCCGCCAAACGAGAUGAAAAUCAAACUGAGAUUGUCCGAAAGAUGUCGUUCCUUGCUUCCUUGGACGAAGAUCUACUGGCUA